UACAGAGGGGGCAAGCGUUGUUCGGAAUUACUGGGCGUAAAGAGCUCGUAGGCGGCUUGUCACGUCGGCUGUGAAAACCCGGGGCUCAACCCCGGGCCUGCAGUCGAUACGGGCAAGCUAGAGUUCGGCAGGGGAGACUGGAAUUCCUGGUGUAGCGGUGAAAUGCGCAGAUAUCAGGAGGAACACCGGUGGCGAAGGCGGGUCUCUGGGCCGAUACUGACGCUGAGGAGCGAAAGCGUGGGGAGCGAACAGG
This 253-nucleotide ribosomal RNA is filed under the name uncultured bacterium. RNAcentral's name for it is "partial 16S ribosomal RNA". It matches the Rfam family "Bacterial small subunit ribosomal RNA", at positions 524 to 776 of the family's 1533-position model. The record is from RNAcentral.